Long non-coding RNA from Arvicanthis niloticus (Nile rat), 410 nucleotides. RefSeq lists it as uncharacterized. The record is from RefSeq and is a predicted model, not a curated record. NCBI's taxonomy places the organism in Eukaryota, Metazoa, Chordata, Mammalia, Rodentia, Muridae.
CCCAGCCUAUAAAAGCGUGCGCGCACUGUUCAGAAGUCUCUUCGGCUGCGGUCCGGUUGUAAGCUUGUAGGGGAAUAGUUUUGUGGGCACUAUUUUUGAAUGGCCAAGAUGCGGGAGACACAAGGCCAUUAUGGUGCUGGCCGCAAGCCGUCUACUCUGCAAGAGUGUGGUGAAGGCUAGCACGCCGGCCACCAUCAUGUAAAGCCCAUACGGUGUUAGACGACGCCACCACCCCUAGUUCGCCACCGCUGGGUCAGAUGGUGACACCUGAACUCGUUGCUGUUGAGGAGUGGAACACGUGUUAAGGUACUGUAAUAGUCGAGAUCCGGUCACCUUACAGGGGGUCUUCUAAUCUAAGUUUUGACAAUGAGUAUUUUGUAUCAAAUAAAGGAUUGUUUUGUGUGUAAUGA